RNAcentral lists this ribosomal RNA (464 nucleotides) under uncultured bacterium. RNAcentral describes it as "partial 16S ribosomal RNA". It matches the Rfam family "Bacterial small subunit ribosomal RNA", at positions 28 to 507 of the family's 1533-position model. The record is from RNAcentral.
GACGAACGCUGGCGGCGUGCUUAACACAUGCAAGUCGAACGGAAAGGCCCUGCUUGCAGGGUACUCGAGUGGCGAACGGGUGAGUAACACGUGGGUGAUCUGCCCUGCACUUCGGGAUAAGCCUGGGAAACUGGGUCUAAUACCGGAUAGGAGCCAUUUUUAGUGUGAUGGUUGGAAAGUUUUUUCGGUGUAGGAUGAGCUCGCGGCCUAUCAGCUUGUUGGUGGGGUAAUGGCCUACUAAGGCGGCGACGGGUAGCCGGCCUGAGAGGGUGGACGGCCACAUUGGGACUGAGAUACGGCCCAGACUCCUACGGGAGGCAGCAGUGGAGAAUAUUGCACAAUGGGCGCAAGCCUGAUGCAGCGACGCCGCGUGGGGGAUGACGGCCUUCGGGUUGUAAACUCCUUUCGCUAGGGACGAAGCUUUUGUGACGGUACCUAGAGAAGAAGCACCGGCUAACUACGUG